RNAcentral lists this transfer RNA (69 nucleotides) under Rattus norvegicus (Norway rat). It matches the Rfam family "tRNA". From Rfam's summary of the family: Transfer RNA (tRNA) molecules are approximately 80 nucleotides in length. Their secondary structure includes four short double-helical elements and three loops (D, anti-codon, and T loops). Lineage: Eukaryota; Metazoa; Chordata; Mammalia; Rodentia; Muridae. The record is from Rfam by way of RNAcentral.
GGGGAUAUAGCUCAGUGGUAGAGCGCUUGCCUAGCAGGCACAAGGCCCUGGGUUCGGUCCCCAGCUCCG